ACGACUCUUGACAAUGGAUAUCUCGGCUCUCGCAUCGAUGAAGAACGUAGCGAAAUGCGAUACUUGGUGUGAAUUGCAGAAUCCCGUGAACCAUCGAGUCUUUGAACGCAAGUUGCGCCCGAAGCCAUUAGGUUGAGGGCACGUCUGCCUGGGUGUCAUGU
RNAcentral lists this ribosomal RNA (161 nucleotides) under Carum porphyrocoleon. Its description in RNAcentral is "5.8S ribosomal RNA". It matches the Rfam family "5.8S ribosomal RNA". From Rfam's summary of the family: 5.8S ribosomal RNA (5.8S rRNA) is a component of the large subunit of the eukaryotic ribosome. It is transcribed by RNA polymerase I as part of the 45S precursor that also contains 18S and 28S rRNA. Lineage: Eukaryota; Viridiplantae; Streptophyta; Magnoliopsida; Apiales; Apiaceae. The record is from RNAcentral.